RNAcentral lists this transfer RNA (77 nucleotides) under Campylobacterota bacterium. RNAcentral describes it as "Epsilonproteobacteria bacterium (hydrothermal vent metagenome) tRNA-Ile". It matches the Rfam family "tRNA". Rfam says of the family: Transfer RNA (tRNA) molecules are approximately 80 nucleotides in length. Their secondary structure includes four short double-helical elements and three loops (D, anti-codon, and T loops). Further hydrogen bonds mediate the characteristic L-shaped molecular structure. tRNAs have two regions of fundamental functional importance: the anti-codon, which is responsible for specific mRNA codon recognition, and the 3' end, to which the tRNAs corresponding amino acid is attached (by aminoacyl-tRNA synthetases). tRNAs cope with the degeneracy of the genetic code in two manners: having more than one tRNA (with a specific anti-codon) for a particular amino acid; and 'wobble' base-pairing, i.e. permitting non-standard base-pairing at the 3rd anti-codon position. Lineage: Bacteria; Pseudomonadati; Campylobacterota. The record is from RNAcentral.
GGGUUCUUAGCUCAGUUGGUUAGAGCUCUCGGCUCAUAACCGAGCGGUCGAGCGUUCGAGUCGCUCAGAACCCACCA